CUUUAUUGAUGACCUCUCAUUUGUGUCACUGUGUCUGGGUCAUAGAAGCCUUUUGAUGGAGCCUAAGAG
RNAcentral lists this small nucleolar RNA (69 nucleotides) under Ursus americanus (American black bear). RNAcentral's name for it is "Small nucleolar RNA SNORD66 (ENSUAMG00000003621.1)". It matches the Rfam family "Small nucleolar RNA SNORD66". Rfam says of the family: snoRNA HBII-142 is part of the C/D family of snoRNAs. It is the human orthologue of the mouse MBII-142 snoRNA and is predicted to guide 2'O-ribose methylation of small 18S rRNA at residue C1272. The record is from RNAcentral. RNAcentral also lists the same sequence under 1 other name. Lineage: Eukaryota; Metazoa; Chordata; Mammalia; Carnivora; Ursidae.